This is a long non-coding RNA of Choloepus didactylus (southern two-toed sloth), 877 nucleotides long. RefSeq lists it as uncharacterized. Lineage: Eukaryota; Metazoa; Chordata; Mammalia; Pilosa; Megalonychidae. The transcript has 4 exons. The record is from RefSeq and is a predicted model, not a curated record.
CCAUCGGGCAGGUCCAGCCCCAUGAUUCGGUCAUGGGGCUGCAGGAGGGCUGUGUAGGCAGCCAAAUUGGCUGGGGACCCUGAGUAGGGCUGGACAUUGACUCCCCACUGUGCAGGAUCCAGGUCAAAGGCCUCCAAGGCUCGGCGCUGACACAGUAGCUCGAUUUCAUCCACUAUCUCUGCUCCCCCGUAAUACCUGCCAUGGGAGCGGGGAGAUACAUGAGGACACAGAGAAAGGGCUCCACCACCCCUCUUGACCAACAGCAAAGGACUGGGCAGAUCACUCCUCUACAAUCCCUGGGAGAGUACAGGGUUUCUUACCAGGCCUGGGACAGCACCAGAGGCAGCAUCCUCAAACCCAGCUGGCACAAUAGGACACAGACAGCCCCAGCCCCCUGAAGCAAGCAAUGAGGCCGGGUUGCAUCAUCUGCACGACUCAGAGCUAGCCGGAAAAGCUCAGUUCCUGGGUGCAGGCCCCAGAACACGUGCAUGAAAAAGCCGGAGAACCCCAGAGUUUGUGAAUAAGAGUUAGGAAAGGAAAAGGGCUUCCUUUCCACUGGUCUCCCAGUCUCCCGAGCUCCAGCCUUACCCGGGCCGCCCAGAGCAAAGGAAAGGGUAGCAUUGCAGUCCGAAAUCGUAGGAAGUCCAGCCACCAACUAGCUCCUAAGGCAGAAGCAGAGCGGAAGAAGACGGAUCAGAGAGCGCAUGCGCCUCAAGAGUCGCCUGAGAUGCCGCAGGAAUAAGGGGAGGGAUCUACGCAUGCGUGAGAUGGCCCCUCUAGGGCCUUUCGGAAAUUGUAGUUUUUUCCCCUUCUGCCACUUCACUUUCACAUGUCUAGCCCCUGGGUUACAGGUCCUUGCCUGAAAGAUAAAAAAUCA